AGCGAACGCUGGCGGCAGGCCUAACACAUGCAAGUCGAACGAACUCUUCGGAGUUAGUGGCGGACGGGUGAGUAACACGUGGGAACGUGCCUUUUGGUUCGGAAUAACUCAGGGAAACUUGUGCUAAUACCGAAUGUGCCCUUCGGGGGAAAGAUUUAUCGCCAUUAGAGCGGCCCGCGUCUGAUUAGCUAGUUGGGGAGGUAACGGCUCACCAAGGCGACGAUCAGUAGCUGGUCUGAGAGGAUGACCAGCCACACUGGGACUGAGACACGGCCCAGGCUCCUACGGGAGGCAGGAGUGGGGAAUCUUGCGCAAUGGGCGAAAGCCUGACGCAGCCAUGCCGGGUGAAUGAUGAAGGUCGUAGGAUUGUAAAAUUCUUUCACCGGGGACGGUAAUGACGGUACCCGGAGAAGAAGCCCCGGCUAACUACGUG
Molecule: ribosomal RNA, 433 nt
Filed under: uncultured bacterium
Lineage: Bacteria
Description: partial 16S ribosomal RNA
Rfam family: Bacterial small subunit ribosomal RNA
Source: RNAcentral